GAUGAAGAACGCAGCGAAAUGCGAUAAGUAGUGUGAAUUGCAGAAUUCAGUGAAUCAUCGAAUCUUUGAACGCACAUUGCGCCCCUUGGUAUUCCAUGGGGCAUGCCUGUUCGAGCGUCAUUUGUACCUUCAAGCUCUGCUUGGUGUUGGGUGUUUGUCUCGCCUCUGCGUGUAGACUCGCCUCAAAACAAUUGGCAGCCGGCGUAUUGAUUUCGGAGCGCAGUACAUCUCGCGCUUUGCACUCAUAACGACGACGUCCAAAAGUACAUUUUUACACUCUUGACCUCGGAUCAGGUAGGGAUACCCGCUGAACUUAAGCAUAUCAGUAAGCGGAGGA
Molecule: unclassified non-coding RNA, 337 nt
Filed under: soil metagenome
Description: partial contains 5.8S ribosomal RNA, internal transcribed spacer 2, and large subunit ribosomal RNA
Rfam family: 5.8S ribosomal RNA (bases 1-120)
Source: RNAcentral